AGUCGAACGGUAGCACAGAGAGCUUGCUCUCGGGUGACGAGUGGCGGACGGGUGAGUAAUGUCUGGGAAACUGCCUGAUGGAGGGGGAUAACUACUGGAAACGGUAGCUAAUACCGCAUAACGUCGCAAGACCAAAGAGGGGGACCUUCGGGCCUCUUGCCAUCAGAUGUGCCCAGAUGGGAUUAGCUAGUAGGUGGGGUAACGGCUCACCUAGGCGACGAUCCCUAGCUGGUCUGAGAGGAUGACCAGCCACACUGGAACUGAGACACGGUCCAGACUCCUACGGGAGGCAGCAGUGGGGAAUAUUGCACAAUGGGCGCAAGCCUGAUGCAGCCAUGCCGCGUGUAUGAAGAAGGCCUUCGGGUUGUAAAGUACUUUCAGCGGGGAGGAAGGUGUUGUGGUUAAUAACCGCAGCAAUUGACGUUACCCGCAGAAGAAGCACCGGCUAACUCCGUGCCAGCAGCCGCGGUAAUACGGAGGGUGCAAGCGUUAAUCGGAAUUACUGGGCGUAAAGCGCACGCAGGCGGUCUGUCAAGUCGGAUGUGAAAUCCCCGGGCUCAACCUGGGAACUGCAUUCGAAACUGGCAGGCUAGAGUCUUGUAGAGGGGGGUAGAAUUCCAGGUGUAGCGGUGAAAUGCGUAGAGAUCUGGAGGAAUACCGGUGGCGAAGGCGGCCCCCUGGACAAAGACUGACGCUCAGGUGCGAAAGCGUGGGGAGCAAACAGG
Molecule: ribosomal RNA, 725 nt
Filed under: uncultured Enterobacterales bacterium
Lineage: Bacteria; Pseudomonadati; Pseudomonadota; Gammaproteobacteria; Enterobacterales
Description: bacterial SSU rRNA
Rfam family: Bacterial small subunit ribosomal RNA
Source: RNAcentral